This 305-nucleotide ribosomal RNA is filed under the name uncultured bacterium. RNAcentral's name for it is "bacterial SSU rRNA". It matches the Rfam family "Bacterial small subunit ribosomal RNA", at positions 335 to 656 of the family's 1533-position model. The record is from RNAcentral.
UGGCCUACGGGGGGCAGCAGUGGGGAAUAUUGCACAGUGGGGGAAACCCUGAUGCAGCAACGCCGCGUGAGUGAAGAAGGUUUUCGGAUUGUAAAGCUCUGUUAGCAGGGAAGAGGAAGGACGGUACCUGCAGAGGAAGCCACGGCUAACUACGUGCCAGCAGCCGCGGUAAUACGUAGGGAGCAAGCGUUGUCCGGAAUUACUGGGCGUAAAGGGCGCGUAGGUGGGCGCUUAAGUCAGGUGUGAAAACUCCGGGCUCAACCUGGAGACUGCACUUGAAACUGGGUGUCUUGAGGGCAGGAGAG